This 253-nucleotide ribosomal RNA is filed under the name uncultured bacterium. RNAcentral describes it as "partial 16S ribosomal RNA". It matches the Rfam family "Bacterial small subunit ribosomal RNA", at positions 524 to 776 of the family's 1533-position model. The record is from RNAcentral.
UACGUAGGGACCAAGCGUUGUUCGGAUUUACUGGGCGUAAAGGGCGCGUAGGCGGCAAUUCAAGUCAUCUGUGAAAUCUCCGGGCUUAACUCGGAACGGUCAGAUGAUACUGCUUUGCUCGAGUGCGGAAGGGGCAAUCGGAAUUCUUGGUGUAGCGGUGAAAUGCGUAGAUAUCAAGAGGAACACCGGUGGCGAAGGCGGCAUCCUGGACCGGUAUUGACGCUGAGGCGCGAAAGCUAGGGGAGCAAACGGG